UGAACAUCAUCUAAGUGUGGCGAUUCCAUAGUUUUUUUGCCAGGGGUUACAGUAACUUCCAGGCAGGUCUUUGGGAGAUGGUUGGAGCUAAACUCUGCAGGACAGUAAUACUCCAGGAGUGUAGUUUGACACAAACACACACACACACAUCAUCAAUAUCAACUCUAUACAUAGUAGUAUAAAAUAUGUUAUAUUUAAAUUAUGUUAAUGACCAUGUUUGAGAGAGUGAAGAGUGUAUCAUUGUUCUCUACAGGUUGUAUAAUUGUGGCGUCAAAGAUGAAGGUUGUGCUGCUCUGGCUUCAGCUCUGAGAUCAAACCCCUCACACCUGAGAGAACUGGAUCUGUCUGGGAAUAGUCUAGGAAAAUCAGAAAUGAAGUUACUCUCUGAUCUGAAAGAUGAUACACAUUAUAAACUGCAGACAUUGGACUAUUGACUCUCAGUAUUUAGACAUCAGUCCAGUUUCCUCGGGAUCAGCUGAUGGUAAAUAAGGAGCCGCUACAGAGACGUCACAGUCACACAAUCAGCAGAGACACACAGCAUCACACUGUCAUGUGUGUGUGACUUUACAUCACCACCUCCUUUUAUGCUUGACCAUGAAAAUGAGUUACUGAAACAUGAAGAGAACACUGUGUGGUUUAUCAGUGUUCUGCUUCUUAUCAAACGCCCUGCUUGAUCUGGCAGACAGAUAACGCCCUCCAAUAACAACAGAAGCAAGGAAUCUUUUCCCCAGCUUUACUAUCAAUCUUGGAAUAACAUAAAACUGUAAACAUACAAAAAAAUACAGAAAUAUAAGCAUGUAAAUCAAUAAAGUGACCACAUAAGACAUAGUAAACUCUUUAUACAGAGAAUGACUAGCAUUGCAUCAUUAGAAAUAUAUUGCACAAUUUGCAGGAUAAAGGCAAUAAGGUUAACAUCUGGCAUAUAAAGUAUAAAGAAUUAACUAAACAUACAUUGCAUAGAAUCACAAUAUAGAAAUGUUUUCAUACAGAAUGUGCCUUCGGAUCAACUUAAAUCGGGGAAUGAUAGCAGCCAUAACCGCAUGGAAUUCUCUGCUGCUGCUGGAAAUCUGACUCAUACUUAUGAUGUCACGACUCUACAACCUUACAUGCAGUACCCAACUUUGAACAGAGGAAUCAGGAAUCAAUGGUCUGUUGUUUAUAAUGGCAGUGACUUUAGCCAUAAAGGUGGUGUGUACCUUGUGUGUGAGUUUGGAGGAUGUCAUCUGAAGAAGCAUAGAAUCCAAGAUCCUGCAGGUAAGCCCAAUCAUCCUUUUCCACGCGCCACCCAUGUGCAAUGAAUGCGGAGGAUUGAAUGUCCAUUUACAGCCGUGAUUGGACAGAAAUUGUUUUACCACCUUUUCAUCCACAUUAGAAGGAAUUUGCAAGUCUUUACGAGCUCCAGUGAAAAUGGUGCCUCUAUCGGAGCGAAUCUGUUUCACAGGACCCCGGAUAGCCAAAAACCUCCUUAAGGUUAAUGAAGCUGGAGGUAUUUAGGGACUCAAUCACUUCUAUAUGAAAGGCUCUGAUAUUUAGACAUGUGAAUAGCACUGCCCAUCUUUUGCUUUCUGCAUGUCCACCUCUUGUCUUACGAGCAGAUACUGACCAGGGGCCAAACACAUCCAGUCCCACAUGUGUGAAAGGAGGCUCUGUGCUGAGUCUGUCAGCUGGCAGAUCCGCCAUUUUUUGCAUCUCACAGCCCCUUCUGAGUCUGCGGCAUACAACACAGGAAUGGAUGAGACUACUCACACGUCUUUUGCCUCCUAUUAUCCAAUAGCCGGCACAUCUAAUUGCUCCCUCUGUAAAGUGGCAACCCUGACGAUGUGUUCGCUCAUGAAAAUGUCGAAUUAGCAGUGCUGCCACAUGACAUUUACCAGGUAUAAUAUGAGGUCUCUUCUCUUCAGAGCUUAGAUCCACUUUAAUCAGACGACCUCCGACUCUCAACAAUCCACUUUGAUCGAUGAAAGGGUCUAAUUUCCGAAGCGUACUAGCUUUUGGAAGUGGUUUGUUUUGUCUAAGACACUGCAAUUUGUCUGCAUAUGUCUCCUGCUGAAUCGCUCGUACGAUAAUUUCCUUACUCUGAAGUAUUAUGUCAGCACUCAGAGGCAGUUUACAACAGUGCCAUCCCUUGCAUGUGGGAGGGUUGUCAUUUUGACCUCGCUUGUAAGAGCACACAAUGUAAUUCAAUUUGCCAAUGCUCUGAUCAAACGAUUCCAGUCAGAAAAGCGUUCAAAGCGGUUUGAGACAGCAGUAUGCAACACUGUAACUAAUGGGUGAACUUCUGCAUCUUGAUCAGGAUCAACAAGUGUGUAGGGUGUUUUAGUGGGAGUCUGUGUUCUUGGGUGAUGCAAAAAUGCGGGUCCACUGAAUCAGAUGGUGUCUUGCAAUUUGGUUGGUGCUAUGGGUCGUGUCGCAACAUCUGCAGGGUUAUGCUCCGAGCUUACAUAAUGCCUUUGUUCUGGAUUAGUGCUUCUCCGAAUUUUCUGUACACGGUUACUUACGUAGACAUGAAAUCUACGUUUCUCAUUGUAGAUAUAACCAAGAACCACAUGGCUAUCUGUAUAGAAGGUUAUAUCAUCGAAUUUGACCACAAUUUCUGCAGUGAUGGUUUCAAUUAUGUUCACAGCCAACACCGCUGCACAGAGUUCUAGACGAGGUAUGGUGAGUUUUUGGUUGCGGUGCUAACCUCGCUUUGCCAAUGAUGAACCCUGUAUGACUAUUACCAUAUGCGUCAAUCAUCUUAAGGUAAGCGACUGCUGCAAUUACUCUGUCAGAAGCGUCAGAGAAUACAGAGAGCUCUAUGAACUUGGCACCUAACAAGGAUGUAGGUCCAUAGCUUCUUGGGACAUGUUGUAAAUCUCUCAAGGAAUCUCUCCAUAUUUCCCACAGCUCUCACUUGUUCGCAGGUAAGGGUGCAUCCCAAUCAGUAGUAUCCUCAGUUAAUUCCCUUAGCAGUAUUUUGCCUUGAACUGUGAUUGGAGCCACAAAUCCUAGUGGGUCAUACAAGCUGUUUAUCACUGCUAGCAAACCACGCAGUGUGUAAGGCCUUCUCUCAUUUUGAACAUGGAAGUUGAAGCAGUCUGUGUCCAAAUUCCAAAGUAGGCAGAGACUGCGCUCCAUAGGAAGUGAACUGACACCUAAAUCCAGUUCUUUCAGGAGGUAACCGGCGAACAUUUCAACAAAAACUUUAAUAAUAAAAUAAACACAAAAGAGCGUGACAGCCCCUCGCGGAUGACUGUAAAUAAAGUCCAGGCCUGAUUCUCUCUCAUCCAACACUGUUGAUGAUACUCCUUUUAUCCUUCCGGAGCUCCUCCGUGGGACUCGAGAACGGUGAGUGGCGCAGGUGUCGUGCAUUCUCAUUAACUCCACCGGCCUCGCUCCAUUCUCACGGCUCUCGGCCCCGCCCUUCUCGUCACACCUAACAGUCUACUCUGAGAGUUAGUAGACAUGUAGUUGCAAAUGAAUGAGAAUUAGUUGACAUGUAUUUGCAAAGUUACUUAUAGCUAGUAGAUUGUCUAAAGUGGAUUAUCAAAAUAAAGUGUGACCCAGUUAUUUUGGUCAGUUACGGCUUGUUAGUGCUAGUGUAACGAGUUAUAGUGAAUACAGUUUGAAUGUAACAUAUUGUUUUUCACUAAAAUCCUUUUUAUUGUAUUAUGGGUUUAUUUGUUAUUGUAUUAUUGAUUUAUUUCCGUUUUUCUUUGAGCAAUAUAUGUCGAUGCUGCUGUUCACCGUUUAGAGACUUUUAUUUUGAUAAUUUCUGUUGGCAUUCGACUGACGCCAUUUUCAAGUGAGUGCGCGCUUCUCGUCAGUUCGCAUUGUAUAUGCUGGUGAGAGGUAAGCGUUUGUCAGAGCUCUUCAUUUUAUGGGUGAAUUAAGUUUGCAAAGUGUAUAAAUUGACUAAAUAUUCUAUUAUAAUGUUUUAUUAUAAUUCAUAUAAUUGUAUGCAGUGUUCUGUUAUAAGUUUUAUGCGUGAGUGGAUUAAGAAUAUGAAGUUAUAUCAUGUGGGCCGUAUGAUAUUCUACUGGCAUGGUUUUGAGUCAUUAAUUAGCUAACAAAUAUUAUAUCAUACAGGAAUGUCUUUGGAAUGCCCAAGAAAGAGAAAGAUAUGAACUUUAUUCAUGUUAAUCCACAGGUAUUUUACUCUUAUUGUUUAUUUUCUAUAUUCUUGUACUAUGUUAAUACUAUGUUUCAGUGUUAAUGGUCUCUUUCUCAAUUGUUAAACUCAAUUGUUAAAGUGAGUUCGCAUUGUAUAUGCUGGUGAGAGGAAUGUCUUUGGAAUGCCCAAGAGAGAGAAAGAUACGAAAUUUAUUCAUGUUAAUCCACAGACGGAGUGAAAUUAAUGCUGGGCGUGGCUGUCAAUAAAUCCCCUUUGGUGAACAGAA
This is a long non-coding RNA of Cyprinus carpio (common carp), 4379 nucleotides long. RefSeq lists it as uncharacterized. The transcript is spliced from 2 exons. The record is from RefSeq and is a predicted model, not a curated record. NCBI's taxonomy places the organism in Eukaryota, Metazoa, Chordata, Actinopteri, Cypriniformes, Cyprinidae.